UAAGCAGACUCUGGAUUUCCCUCAGCAGUAAGGCAGGACUUGUUUGCCUCUAUUCAUUCCGUCUGCUUUUUUCUAACGUUUUUGUCGCUGUAAUAGUUAUUUAUAAUACCAGACAAACUGCAUUUCAGACUCAUUGAGACUAGAGGAAGGACAAGCCUUGGAUUUUUUAAGAAGAGUGAAGUCACAAGUCCAAUUUGCUUCAAUUAGGAGACAAGCCAACAGUAAAAAUGGGGGCAUCCACAAGCAAUCCUUUAUUCGAGAAUACACAUGACCGUGCUGUUGCUAUUAAGAUUAGCAAUUGCAGUUCGAAAUAUGAUUUAAGUAA
Long non-coding RNA from Protopterus annectens (West African lungfish), 325 nucleotides. RefSeq lists it as uncharacterized. The transcript is spliced from 3 exons. The record is from RefSeq and is a predicted model, not a curated record. NCBI's taxonomy places the organism in Eukaryota, Metazoa, Chordata, Ceratodontiformes, Protopteridae.